Molecule: non-coding RNA, 94 nt
Organism: Paramuricea clavata
Lineage: Eukaryota; Metazoa; Cnidaria; Anthozoa; Malacalcyonacea; Plexauridae
Source: the annotation of a GenBank genome assembly
UCGACUCGUGACUCGACUCGUGACUCGACUCGUGACUCGACUCGUGACUCGACUCGUGACUCGACUCGUGACUCGACUCGUGACUCGACUCGUG